GCUCUGGUAGUCUAGGAGCUUUUUCCGCUGUGAACCUCGCUCCGCUCGGAGUCGAGAAAAACCUCGGAAAAAGCUGGAAAAUGGUCUAGGAUACAACCCUGUCACGGUUGUGACCCGGGUUCAAAUCCCGGCCAGGGCG
Molecule: transfer RNA, 139 nt
Filed under: Microcaldota archaeon
Lineage: Archaea; Nanobdellati; Microcaldota
Description: tRNA-Asp
Rfam family: tRNA (bases 75-135)
Source: RNAcentral